CAACAAGAAAACAUAAUGACAACCUUAUUGAAAAACAGAGCUUUUACAAAUGUAUCCAUGAGAGCAAUAACAUCCUUAGUACUUCCCAAACCACCUUUCUCCAAAUUCAUGGAUUCUUCUUCCAACGUCAUCAAUGGACGAUCUCAGAGGCUCUUGGCCUUGGCACAACACCUUCGUUUGUACAAGCCACCACCACCUUUCCCUGAAGAUAUUGUGGAGCAGAGAAUCGAAGAAAGUGGUGGCAAGGUUGUUUCCCAAGUGGGUUUUCAAGAAUCAGCCACCCCAAUUGCACACAACCCAGAAAAAUUCAGACCCAAUAAAGCUGCUGUGUUGAUCUGCCUCUUUGAAGAUGAUGCUGGCGAUCUGCGAGUUAUACUCACUAAGCGCUCUUCCACGCUUUCUACUCACUCGGGUGAAGUGGCAUUGCCUGGUGGGAAAGAGGAGGAGGGGGAUAAGGAUGAUGGGGACACUGCAAAAAGGGAGGCAAAUGAGGAAAUUGGAUUGGACCCAGAACUUGUCAAUGUUGUCACUGUUCUUGAACCAUUCUUGUCUAAGCAUCUCCUUAGAGUAGUUCCUGUCAUUGGCAUUCUUCAUGACAAGAAAGCAUUCAAACCUGUUCUGAGCCCUGCAGAAGUGGAAGCAGUGUUUGAUGCACCUUUGGAAAUGUUUCUCAAGGAUGAAAAUCGGAGGCAGGAGGAGAGGGAGUGGAUGGGAGAGAAGUAUUUGAUACAUUUCUUCGAUUAUGAAAUCGAGCGUAAAAAAUACCUCAUAUGGGGUUUAACUGCUGGGAUCUUGAUUAGGGCUGCAUCAGUUGUGUACCAACGGCCACCAGCUUUCAUAGAGCAGAAUCCUAAAUACAAGGUUCCACAGGUUGUAACCAAGGAUAGUGUAAUGCGUUGAGUUAAAUAUUUUUUGUAUUUUUUCCUUAAUAUAUGUUCUUAAUCCUACAAUAUUAGUCAUCACAACUAUAAAGUUAUAGAAUCCCAAGUGUUUAUAUUUACUGAAAGAAAUUAAAAGGGCACUAUGCCAUCACUUGGAAUUCAUAUUCGUGCUUACCCAAUGCUAUCAUGAAGUUGAGGAGUUGCGGACAGUAAAUCACUUCAGAAGGAGUAUCAACAAUUCUUAGAAACAUUUGCUGACUAGUAACUUGUUUUACCUUCUUCUUCAGUGGGUGUUUGGCACUGCAUUACCACACCAUGUUGAGGUCAAAAAACCAUGUCAAAGUGGACGCUCCCCCUUAUAGCUUGAUGUGUUUUGGAGCGUGUGGACAAUUCAUUUCCAAACACACUCGUAAAGCAUUUGAAACUUGAGUGAGUAACUCUAGGUUAUAAAGGAAGUGCUUUGCCAAAAGGAGCACUCUUGAAUUAUUUGCCCAACAUCAAAUUUGUUACUUAGGAAUUUAGGGUUGUCUAUACUAUUACUCUAUGUAUAUGGUGCAAAUAAUAAGUUGAUUUCAUGUAAACUUAUAAAUUGGAUGGAGGAAUAGAUGUAUACAAUGGAAUAAGAUGAAAUCAUCAUUAAAUUUCA
Molecule: RNA transcript, 1527 nt
Organism: Lotus japonicus
Lineage: Eukaryota; Viridiplantae; Streptophyta; Magnoliopsida; Fabales; Fabaceae
Gene name: nudix hydrolase 15, mitochondrial
Exons: 5
Source: RefSeq, a predicted model, not a curated record